RNAcentral lists this ribosomal RNA (1296 nucleotides) under Ancystropus sp. APGD-2010. Its description in RNAcentral is "eukaryotic LSU rRNA". It matches the Rfam family "Eukaryotic large subunit ribosomal RNA", at positions 127 to 1244 of the family's 3401-position model. Lineage: Eukaryota; Metazoa; Arthropoda; Arachnida; Mesostigmata; Spinturnicidae. The record is from RNAcentral.
UUUGACACAAUAAGGGAUGAGGUGUAGAGGAGUCGCACGUUUGACUGGCUGUCGGUCUAGUUAUUAUUGAGUGAGUGCCCAAAGAAGGUGGAAAGCCUGUAUGACCGUACACAUGCCGGCCAAACAGUGGCUCUUGAGAGUCUAGUUGUUUGAGAGUACAACUUAAAGUUGGUGGUAAAUUCCAUCAAAGGUUAAAUAUCUGAAGGGACUAAUAGUGAACAAGUACCGUGAGGGAAAGUUGAAAAGGACUCUGAAGAGGGAGUUAAAGAGUACGUGAAACCACAUUGAGUAAAACAGAUAACCGUGUCGUUGGGGCGCGUUCUAUCAAUAGCGAUGUCGGUCGUGAGCGUGCCCGCACAACCAACGCUAGCUUGCUGAUUCGUCAGCGGCGGCCGACCGUUUGUGGCUAGCAUCACGGCUCGCAUUUCUGUGCACUAGUGCGCGUCCACUAAUUGAGAAGCUACGGGGCUGCCGGCCUGGCGUGCAGCGGUUCGUACCUUGUGUGCGUAGCUGUGCGCUUGCUUGGCUAGCCUGGCCGUGGCUUGGCCUUUAGUCGGGGCCGCGGGCUGGUUCUGUCGUGCUGCGGCCGGUGUUGCUCGUACGCUGUGGCGUUAAUUCGCCUUCGGUGAGCGUGCGCCGGCUGCCACGAGCGGCCCGUCAUCAAUGUGUGACAUGAGUUAUUUGACCCGUCUUGWAACACGGACCAAGGAGUUCAAAUGGCACGCGAGUCAUUGAGUGUGUUGAAGCUCAAAGGCGAAGUGAAAUGCAAAACAUGUUGCUAAUUGUGGUCUAUAGCCGGCUGCAACGAAGCGACAGGCCACUAGUGCUAUUUGGCAUUUGUGGACUGUAAGCGUGACGUUUGAGACCCGAAAGAUGGUGACCUAUGCCUAGUCAAGAUGAAGCCAGAGGAAACUCUGGUGGAGGUCUGAAGUUGUUCUGACGUGCAAAUCGAUAAUCUGAUCUGGGUAUAGGGGCGAAAGACUAAUCGAACCAUCUAGUAGCUGGUUCCUUCCGAAGUUUCCCUCAGGAUAGCAAGCGUACGAACUUAGUUUCAUCCCGUAAAGCGAAUGAUUAGAGGUAUUGGGGUGUAUACAGCUUCAACCUAUUCUCAAACUUUUAAUGGGUGUGAGCGUUCUUUCUUUAUUGAAGAAUGCUACUACUAAAUAAGUAUGCUUAGUGGGCCAUUUUUGGUAAGCAGAACUGGCGCUGUGGGUUGAACCAAUUGUCGAGUUAAAGUGCCUAAAGCAGAAAUGCUCAUGAGAUCUGUAAAGGGUGUUAGUUGCUGAAGACAGCAGG